GGAUGAGGGGUGCUUGCACUCUGAUUUAGCGGCGGACGGGUGAGUAAUGCCUAGGAAUCUGCCUGGUAGUGGGGGAUAACGUUCCGAAAGGAACGCUAAUACCGCAUACGUCCUACGGGAGAAAGCGGGGGAUCUUCGGACCUCGCGCUAUCAGAUGAGCCUAGGUCGGAUUAGCUAGUUGGUGAGGUAAUGGCUCACCAAGGCGACGAUCCGUAACUGGUCUGAGAGGAUGAUCAGUCACACUGGAACUGAGACACGGUCCAGACUCCUACGGGAGGCAGCAGUGGGGAAUAUUGGACAAUGGGCGAAAGCCUGAUCCAGCCAUGCCGCGUGUGUGAAGAAGGUCUUCGGAUUGUAAAGCACUUUAAGUUGGGAGGAAGGGUAUUCACCUAAUACGUGAGUAUUUUGACGUUACCGACAGAAUAAGCACCGGCUAACUUCGUGCCAGCAGCCGCGGUAAUACGAAGGGUGCAAGCGUUAAUCGGAAUUACUGGGCGUAAAGCGCGCGUAGGUGGUUCGUUAAGUUGGAUGUGAAAGCCCCGGGCUCAACCUGGGAACUGCAUCCAAAACUGGCGAGCUAGAGUACGGUAGAGGGUGGUGGAAUUUCCUGUGUAGCGGUGAAAUGCGUAGAUAUAGGAAGGAACACCAGUGGCGAAGGCGACCACCUGGACUGAUACUGACACUGAGGUGC
RNAcentral lists this ribosomal RNA (691 nucleotides) under Pseudomonas sp. RNAcentral describes it as "bacterial SSU rRNA". It matches the Rfam family "Bacterial small subunit ribosomal RNA", at positions 68 to 754 of the family's 1533-position model. The record is from RNAcentral. Lineage: Bacteria; Pseudomonadati; Pseudomonadota; Gammaproteobacteria; Pseudomonadales; Pseudomonadaceae.